GAACGCUGGCGGCAUGCCUUACACAUGCAAGUCGAACGGCAGCACGGGAGCAAUCCUGGUGGCGAGUGGCGAACGGGUGAGUAAUAUAUCGGAACGUGCCCGGUCGUGGGGGAUAACGUAGCGAAAGCUACGCUAAUACCGCAUACGAUCUACGGAUGAAANCGGGGGAUCGCAAGACCUCGCGCGAUUGGAGCGGCCGAUAUCAGAUUAGGUAGUUGGUGAGGUAAAGGCUCACCAAGCCGACGAUCUGUAGCUGGUCUGAGAGGACGACCAGCCACACUGGGACUGAGACACGGCCCAGACUCCUACGGGGGGCAGCAGUGGGGAAUUUUGGACAAUGGGCGCAAGCCUGAUCCAGCAAUGCCGCGUGCAGGAUGAAGGCCUUCGGGUUGUAAACUGCUUUGUACGGAACGAAACGGUGAGCUCUAAUACAGUUUGCUAAUGACGGUACCGUAAGAAUAAGCACCGGCUAACUACGUG
Molecule: ribosomal RNA, 480 nt
Filed under: uncultured bacterium
Lineage: Bacteria
Description: bacterial SSU rRNA
Rfam family: Bacterial small subunit ribosomal RNA
Source: RNAcentral